UCUCCUUCACCACACCUAACCUCACCCCACUUCACAUGACCACAGACCACCGCCACCGCCACCGCCUCAGAUGGUAACGGCCACUGCAGCAAAUCGCCGCCGCCACCUCUUCAGAUCGCCAUCGCCACUGCUGCAGAGCACAGAUCAGCAUUUGGGAGGAAAGAAACGCCAGGUUCCUUGGUUUUGGUGUGUAGCAUUUGGGUUUGUAAACUUGUUUGGUGGCUUUCUUAUCGAGGUAUGCAUGUUGUUGAUUAUGAACUUAGUGUAGGUUCCACUGUAAAGGGGAUACGCUUUCUUGAGAAAGAAACUGAAAGCAGCUGAGCAAUGGUUUAUCAAUGCACUUAAGAGAAUAUAAAUGCAUGAAAAAAUUGUGAUAGAACUAUUUUUUUUUUUUUUUAAUCUUCUAAAUGCUUGUAUAUGUAUGUCUGGCUAUGUUUUGCUUAAAACUUUUAUACUGGUUCCUUGUCUUUAUGAAGCAAAUUUCUUA
This is a non-coding RNA of Camellia sinensis, 487 nucleotides long. NCBI's taxonomy places the organism in Eukaryota, Viridiplantae, Streptophyta, Magnoliopsida, Ericales, Theaceae. The record is from RefSeq and is a predicted model, not a curated record.